GUGUCAGCAGCCGCGGUAAUACGGGGGGAGCAAGCGUUGUCCGGAUUUAUUGGGCGUAAAGGGCGCGUAGGUGGGCCGGUAAGUGAAUGGUGAAAUCCCGAGGCUUAACUUCGGAAUGGCCUUUCAGACUGCCGGUCUCGAGUGCGAGAGGGGAAGAUGGAAUUCCUGGUGUAGCGGUGGAAUGCGUAGAUAUCAGGAGGAACACCGGUGGCGAAGGCGAUCUUCUGGCUCGUAACUGACACUGAGGCGCGAAAGCGUGGGGAGCAAACAGGAUUAGAUACCCCCGUAGUCC
This 292-nucleotide ribosomal RNA is filed under the name uncultured bacterium. Its description in RNAcentral is "partial 16S ribosomal RNA". It matches the Rfam family "Bacterial small subunit ribosomal RNA", at positions 505 to 796 of the family's 1533-position model. The record is from RNAcentral.